GACGAACGCUGGCGGCGUGCCUAACACAUGCAAGUCGAGCGGUAAGGCCCUUUCGGGGGUACACGAGCGGCGAACGGGUGAGUAACACGUGGGUGACCUGCCCUCAGCUCUGGGAUAAGCCUGGGAAACCGGGUCUAAUACUGGAUAUGACUCCAUGACGCAUGUUGUGGGGUGGAAAGCCUUGUGCGGCUGAGGAUGGGCCCGCGGCCUAUCAGCUUGUUGGUGGGGUGANGGCCUACCAAGGCGACGACGGGUAGCCGGCCUGAGAGGGCGACCGGCCACACUGGGGCUGAGACACGGCCCAGACUCCUACGGGAGGCAGCAGUGGGGAAUCUUGCGCAAUGGGCGAAAGCCUGACGCAGCGACGCCGCGUGAGGGAUGACGGCCU
Molecule: ribosomal RNA, 388 nt
Filed under: uncultured bacterium
Lineage: Bacteria
Description: bacterial SSU rRNA
Rfam family: Bacterial small subunit ribosomal RNA
Source: RNAcentral